This is a long non-coding RNA of Triticum dicoccoides, 896 nucleotides long. RefSeq lists it as uncharacterized. The transcript has 5 exons. The record is from RefSeq and is a predicted model, not a curated record. NCBI's taxonomy places the organism in Eukaryota, Viridiplantae, Streptophyta, Magnoliopsida, Poales, Poaceae.
AGAAUACAGGUCAAUUAUUCUUCACUAAUUCAUUUCCUUGUAGUACAGUUGUGUUAGUUAUUUGCUUGCAAGAUAGCAUCUUCCUGAAUGAUUUCUUUAUAUUUUUCAGAUAAGGAGAACUUUAACCUUGCGCCCACCUAUGGCAAUAUUGCCCUCUUUAUAUUCUCCCUCGCUCAUCAGCAGCAGCGAUGGUGGCGUCAUUGUCGGCCUUGCAGCAUGUGGCAUAAUCAUGUCCAUUGCCUACUCUGGGGCAGAUCUUUGAAAGUUCCAAGUUGGUUAAUGUUGAUUUUUGCUCAUGCACAACCCAUCAUAGGAAUUAGUAGGAUCCUCUUCGAUGGAUGUAAGGACUGCAACAGGUUUCUUUCAGCAGCCUGGGGUUGUUAAGAAGAGGGUCGGGAUUGCUCUGGGCAGAUGCUUAAAUUCCUGGAUGUAAACGCACACUUGUCUCCUACACAGGCCAAAAUACUAUUGGAGAUAAGGAUACCCGCGCUGCUGCUGUUGCGUUUGGUUAGGGAGGGGCUUCUUCGUCUGCUUUGCCGUGCGGUGGCUGUGCGGCUGCUUGUUCCUUCUUGUCCGGUGUACAUGAGAAGCUCCAAUUUUGUCGGCAAUAGCCACUGGAGAAAGUAGUGAUUGGGUUUAUAUGGGAUAGUUAUGUAUGUCCAUUGUGUGAUGGGAAAUACAAUGCAGUGGUUAAUUGUCACAUGGCUUCUCAAUAGUGGCUUCUCAGUAAAAAAAAAGUUAUAUGAUGUAUGAUAGCCAUGAGUAUGAUGAUUUUUCGGAUGGGCGGUAAGCUUCCCAUGUUUGAUGUUUUUUUUUUACUUUUUAAAAUUGAACGAUGCUGGUGAGAAUAGUACUGUGGUGUACACUUCUAUUUGGUCAUAUAUUUUGUCCUUUUU